CAACCUCUGCGGUGUACGAGACUACCUAAACUAUUUCCCGCCUUAAUGAUAAUAUAUAGGGAGCUCGACUGCUUGGCGUGGCUGUCAGGCCGUCUUGAAUGGAAGACAAAAGCGUUGAGAGGAGCACCCACCUUGUUUUAGGAGGUCGAGAAAUCAACUCGGUUAGACGGCAUAUGUGGGGGUUGU
This 186-nucleotide non-coding RNA is filed under the name Verrucomicrobiaceae bacterium. RNAcentral's name for it is "6S RNA". It matches the Rfam family "6S / SsrS RNA". Rfam says of the family: E. coli 6S RNA was the first non coding RNA to be sequenced, but its function was unknown until recently. It consists of 184 nucleotides that fold into an extended hairpin structure with a large single-stranded internal bulge. The record is from RNAcentral. Lineage: Bacteria; Pseudomonadati; Verrucomicrobiota; Verrucomicrobiia; Verrucomicrobiales; Verrucomicrobiaceae.